UUUGCUCCCCCCACACGUUAAAAUUUGUAUGAAAAAAUGAGUGACCGGGAGCGAUCGUCCCCAACACUGAUCGAAACUGGUUUAAAGAAUCUAAUCGGCGGUCGGGAUGGGAAUUAUCCACUCAUCAGCGGCAUAAAUGGUAAGCGAGUUCGACCAAAAUUGGUUUAAAUUACUAAGUGAGAAUAAGUACUUAAAUUUGGUAAGAAAUAAUGAAAAUGACGUGAAAUAAGAGAAAUUAAUUAGAAAUGAUACUAAAAACAAUAAUGAGUUAACAAAUGAUGUUUUUUGUAGAUGAAAAUUAUAUCAUAAAGAAAGGAUUUAAAUAAAUUUGUUUGUGAAUUUAAAAAUUGCUUUGUUUUAGUGAUAAAAGUAGUUUUAGGAUAACUAGGUACUUAAGAUGACUAAUUAUGUGUUGACCAUUUAAUCUUGUGUAUAAUAAAGCAAUUUGAGCGAAUAGAGAAUUCAGGGAGAUAUUCAGCUUUAAGACAGAUCGGAGUUAGAAGAGUAUUUAAAAGAAAUAAAUUCUAUGAUCUCUAGGAGGUCGUUCUUGCUUCAAAUUUUUCGGUUUUCAUAAUGAAAAUAUCAACAUAUUUUUCGUGAAU
This is a long non-coding RNA of Zeugodacus cucurbitae (melon fly), 602 nucleotides long. RefSeq lists it as uncharacterized. Lineage: Eukaryota; Metazoa; Arthropoda; Insecta; Diptera; Tephritidae. The record is from RefSeq and is a predicted model, not a curated record. The transcript has 2 exons.